AACGCAUAUUGCACUCUCUGGUAUUCCGGAGAGUAUGCCUGUUUCAGCAUCAGACGAGUAGAGUCGAAACCCCCCUCGCUCGCGGGGCGGGGCUAUCGGAUCUGGGACUUGCAGGCUCGCGCGUCUCCCUCUCGGGGGUCCCGCGCGGGGCGUGCUGGCCUGAAAUUCAACCGUGGCGGAACCCAGGUACCACACCCGGGGCUUUCAAAGGCGUCAUAGUUGGCCCAUGGUCAUCUUUCGCCGGACUAGAGCCAGGGCUGGGGCUGACCGCGUGUCGCGAGCGAUCGUGACAACCCAACCUUUUAAGACUUGGUCUGAAAUCAGGCAGGACUACCCGCUGAACUUAA
RNAcentral lists this unclassified non-coding RNA (347 nucleotides) under uncultured soil eukaryote. RNAcentral's name for it is "sequence contains 5.8S rRNA gene, ITS2, 28S rRNA gene". The record is from RNAcentral.